CAGAGGGUGCGAGCGUUAAUCGGAAUUACUGGGCGUAAAGCGCGCGUAGGCGGCUAUGCAAGUCGAGUGUGAAAUCCCCGGGCUCAACCUGGGAACUGCAUUCGAGACUGCGUUGCUUGAGUAUGGGAGAGGGAGGCGGAAUUUCAGGUGUAGCGGUGAAAUGCGUAGAUAUCUGAAGGAACAUCAGUGGCGAAAGCGGCCUCCUGGACCAAUACUGACGCUCAAGUGCGAAAGCGUGGGGAGCAAACAGGAUUAGAUACCCUGGUAGUCCACGCCAUAAACGAUGAGAACUAGAUGUCGGGAGGGUUAGCCUCUCGGUGUCGCAGCUAACGCGUUAAGUUCUCCGCCUGGGGAGUACGGCCGCAAGGUUG
This 371-nucleotide ribosomal RNA is filed under the name uncultured organism. RNAcentral's name for it is "bacterial SSU rRNA". It matches the Rfam family "Bacterial small subunit ribosomal RNA", at positions 526 to 896 of the family's 1533-position model. The record is from RNAcentral.